GGGAGAGAUGGCCGAGUGGUUGAUGGCUCUGGUCUUGAAAACCAGUAUAGUUCAAAAACUAUCGAGGGUUCGAAUCCCUCUCUCUCCUU
This 89-nucleotide transfer RNA is filed under the name Cryptomeria japonica var. sinensis. RNAcentral's name for it is "tRNA-Ser". It matches the Rfam family "tRNA". From Rfam's summary of the family: Transfer RNA (tRNA) molecules are approximately 80 nucleotides in length. The record is from RNAcentral. Lineage: Eukaryota; Viridiplantae; Streptophyta; Pinopsida; Cupressales; Cupressaceae.